CACACUUAAACGUUGGGCUGAAUAAAACUGUGUAAUAAAUUAGAUUUCUUAGAUUGUGUGACUCUUCACUGGUAAUGUUGACAUAAGGUAAGUCACAGUUAGGUGUUAUUUGAUUGAUUUGGAACAUACAUAAAUACACACUGGAAUAGGUGAAAGUACAAAUGACACAACACAACACAACACUUUGAAUAUUAAAUAUAGAAUUAUUUUAUUUCCAAUGUAAAAACGAUUUUAAAAGAUUUCAAUCUUAUUAAUAUAUUUAAUUAUUAUUCAUAUCCAAAACAACAACCUAACUUAACGGUGACAUCAUAGUAAUUCAAUAAAAGUUCAAUUACCAGGAGUUAUGUUGCGCACAUUUAAAUAUUUUCAAAAGUCUUAAUUCGGGUUCGUUGACACUACACAGUUUUUAAUUAAUGUUUUUAGGGAACUUAAAUCAAUUUUUACCUCGGCUAGAUAGGUUCAAAUAGUUCAUCGGCAGAGCUCAGAGCCUCUCAUCUGUAGGACCACUGAGUCUGUUAGUUAAUGUGUAAAUUCGUAAAAUUUAUGUCCAAUUAUUAUUUAAAUCAGCUAUAAAGUCAAUUUAAUUCAUGGAAUCAAUGUUUAUAAUAAGUUUCGGCGACGAUGUGACGUAAAAACGGGAGUUUCGUGAUUCGUGCAUAAGAUUAGGGCACAAAAAAUCUGGGCACUUUUGUUACUCACGUUAAUCACUCCUAUAAUAUUUAUCUUUUUAGAUAAAUCCUAUUUAAAUGUUCUGAACUCCCUAAUGGUUCAUAAUUAUCAUCCACUAUCCGGGAUGCCUGAUGCUAGAUAGCUAAUUUUCAGGAUUUAAAAUCGCCGACGUCACGAAGUUGCCGCUCAUUCAGCUGGCCAUUGUAGAACUCUCUUUCUUACUAGUUUCCUCAAAAUAACCAGUAAGACUCACUUUUAAAUGGUGGCCCGUGAUUGGCCAAAAGGACCGUUUCAGUCACCUAAUUUCUUACCGAAAACGUAAACUCCGAACGCAACAAUUGCGCGGAUAACAAAAUUUCACUUAAAAUUUAAAUACAUAAAUAUUGAAAUUAUAAUUUACAUUAUAAAUUUACGGCGUUAAUUUUACCGUUUACAGUUUUCAAGUCCAUUAGUCCUUAGAGGGGUAUCAACAAUACCUCGUUCAAAUAGUCCGGUAAAAAUCCAAAGAAUCACUUUUCCAUAGACAUACAUAACCAAAUAUUGCCGUUUCUGAAAAUAAAUAAUAUUAUACAUAGAGCAAACAAAAAUAAAAUAAAUCGUAAAUAAUAAUAAAUAAUUAAACUGUCAAAACAAACAUGUUGCAGUACAGAUUUUGCCGCCCUUGUCAAUUACAUUGAACAGUGCUCUUUGACCUGUUCAAAACGGUGCAAUGUGAUUGGCACUUCCCUUUCUCCGUCGCACAAUACACAACACUCUUCGUUGCCUAGCAACGCGCGCACCAAACGACAAACAAAAAAAAACAACUUGAGAGAGACUACCUCUCCUCCUCGAUUCGUUUUUUACCGUUGCGCGCCUGAAAAUCGCGCCUUUUUAAACACUUUUUGUCGGGUCGUCGCUGCUAACAGACCUGCGCGAAGAAGUUCACGGAUUUUGCAGUGCAAAAUCUUCGAAGGCUGGAACUGCUGCUGCUCUCCGACUGAUUCUGCCUUGAGCCGCUCCUGUUGAGAAGGACUCGGGAGGACUUACUUACUGUCACGUCACGGCAGUGGGUCAACGUCCACCUGCGGUGAUGACUGCAUCCUGGCUGCGACUCCUCCUUCCUGCAGCGGACAGCGGCGUCGAGACGGCGCCUGUCCUCAAAACGACCAACAAACCUGGCCUGGUUCACCACGCGUCGACGGGGUCUGGCGUGGGGCGAUGAUGCUGUACCAGACAGCACGGCAUUUGGCACUGCAGCUGACGUCAUCAACUGCUGAUGUGGCAGCAUCCAGCCGCCCUGCCUCACGACUACGCGCGAGACGGCGUCGUGGCGUCUGCGGUGCUGAUUGCGUGGGGCGAGGUCACCACUUCCCACAAGGAAGCACUCGUCUAUUCCCAUCACUGUUAGGUACACAAUCGUUGCGAACCGCACUAUGUCUAGCUCACUCUGGUGUAACCUUCGCACCUGACUUAAGUAUAGGUGUCCGGGUCUUAACCGAAUAACUUAAUCACUAUGUGCGUACUUGUACUCUUGCAAAUACAAGUGUCUGCAGGCAAUACAACUUGUGUACUUGUCGCGGAACACUAUGACGUCACCGUUAAAACAAAAAUAUCUUAAAUUAACCUUAAAAUUCCUAGCUUAACAUAUAACAUUCUCAUUAUUAACAUCAUUGUUAGAAAAAAAAAUAAAUAAA
This is a long non-coding RNA of Bacillus rossius redtenbacheri, 2342 nucleotides long. RefSeq lists it as uncharacterized. The record is from RefSeq and is a predicted model, not a curated record. The transcript has 2 exons. NCBI's taxonomy places the organism in Eukaryota, Metazoa, Arthropoda, Insecta, Phasmatodea, Bacillidae.